This 492-nucleotide ribosomal RNA is filed under the name uncultured bacterium. RNAcentral describes it as "partial 16S ribosomal RNA". It matches the Rfam family "Bacterial small subunit ribosomal RNA", at positions 899 to 1397 of the family's 1533-position model. The record is from RNAcentral.
ACUCAAAUGAAUUGACGGGGACUCGCACAAGCAGUGGAGCAUGUGGUUUAAUCCGAUACAACGCGUAGAACCUUACCAAGGCUUGACAUGGCCGGCAAAGUUGUUGAAAGGCAAUGGAGGUUAUCCGGUCACAGGUGCUGCAUGGCCGUCGUCAGUUCGUGCCGUGAGGUGUAUGGUUAAGUCCUAUAACGAACGCAACCCUUAGGCUUAGUUACCAGCAUUCAGUUGGGGACUCUAGGCUGACUGCCCGAGUAAUCGGGAGGAAGGAAAGGACGACGUCUGGUCGUCAUGGCCCUUAUGCCUUGGGCGACACACGUGCUACAAUGGUUAGGACAAUGGGUUGCCAACCCGCGAGGGGGAGCUAAUCUCAAAAAACUAACCUCAGUUCGGAUUGGAGGCUGAAACUCGCCUCCAUGAAGUCGGAAUUGCUAGUAAUCGCAAAUCAGCCAUGUUGCGGUGAAUACGUUCUCGAGUCUUGUACACACCGCCCGU